RNAcentral lists this long non-coding RNA (203 nucleotides) under Mytilus galloprovincialis (Mediterranean mussel). The record is from RNAcentral. Lineage: Eukaryota; Metazoa; Mollusca; Bivalvia; Mytilida; Mytilidae.
GUCUGAGCCAGUGACAUCUCUACAACAGAUUUAUCCAUCGGAUCACCAGCAGUGAUGGUGAUACAUGGCUGUGUACAUUAUGUAUAUACAACUCGUCUAAACAUCAACCCAACAAUGUUAGAUCUGUUAAUUUGCUUUCGCAAAGUUUUUGUUCUUCCCCCGCCGGGAUUCGAACCCAUGCUACUGAGAUAUCGUGACACCAA